UACGAAGGGGGCUAGCGUUGUUCGGAUUUACUGGGCGUAAAGCGCACGUAGGCGGAUCGUUAAGUCGGGGGUGAAAUCCUGGAGCUCAACUCCAGAACUGCCUUUGAUACUGGCGACCUUGAGUCCGGGAGAGGUGAGUGGAACUGCGAGUGUAGAGGUGAAAUUCGUAGAUAUUCGCAAGAACACCAGUGGCGAAGGCGGCUCACUGGCCCGGUACUGACGCUGAGGUGCGAAAGCGUGGGGAGCAAACAGG
Molecule: ribosomal RNA, 253 nt
Filed under: uncultured bacterium
Lineage: Bacteria
Description: partial 16S ribosomal RNA
Rfam family: Bacterial small subunit ribosomal RNA
Source: RNAcentral